RNAcentral lists this ribosomal RNA (438 nucleotides) under uncultured bacterium. RNAcentral describes it as "partial 16S ribosomal RNA". It matches the Rfam family "Bacterial small subunit ribosomal RNA", at positions 338 to 795 of the family's 1533-position model. The record is from RNAcentral.
CCUACGGGAGGCAGCAGUGGGGAAUAUUGCACAAUGGGGGAAACCCUGAUGCAGCGACGCCGCGUGAGUGAAGACGUAUUUCGGUAUGGAAAGCUCUAUCAGCAGGGAAGAAAAUGACUGUACCUGAUUAAUAAGCCCCGGCUAACUACGGGCCAGCAGCCGCGGUAAUACGUAGGGGGCCAGCGGUAUCCGGAUUUACUGGGUGUAAAGGGGGCGUACGGCAGCACAAGGCUGGAGUGAAAUGCCGGGGCUUAAACCCGGAACUGCUGUGGAAACUGUGCAGCUAGAGUGCAGGAGAGGUAAGUGGAAUUCGUAGUGUAGCGGUGAAAUGCGUAGAUAUCAGGCGGAACACCAGUGGCGAAGGCGGCUUACUGGACUGUAACUGACGUUGAGGCUCGAAAGCGUGGGGAGCAAACAGGAUUAGAUACCCCAGUAGUC